Molecule: ribosomal RNA, 492 nt
Filed under: uncultured bacterium
Lineage: Bacteria
Description: partial 16S ribosomal RNA
Rfam family: Bacterial small subunit ribosomal RNA
Source: RNAcentral
AGUGAACGCUGGCGGUAGGCCUAACACAUGCAAGUCGAACGGCAGCACAGUAAGAGCUUGCUCUUACGGGUGGCGAGUGGCGGACGGGUGAGGAAUACAUCGAAAUCUACUUUUUCGUGGGGGAUAACGUAGGGAAACUUACGCUAAUACCGCAUACGACCUACGGGUGAAAGCAGGGGAUCUUCGGACCUUGCGCGAUUGAAUGAGCCGAUGUCGGAUUAGCUAGUUGGCGGGGUAAAGGCCCACCAAGGCGACGAUCCGUAGCUGGCCUGAGAGGAUGAUCAGCCACACUGGAACUGAGACACGGUCCAGACUCCUACGGGAGGCAGCAGUGGGGAAUAUUGGACAAUGGGCGCAAGCCUGAUCCAGCCAUACCGCGUGGGUGAAGAAGGCCUUCGGGUUGUAAAGCCCUUUUGUUGGGAAAGAAAAGCAGCAGGUUAAUACCCCGCUGUUCUGACGGUACCCAAAGAAUAAGCACCGGCUAACUUCGUG